Oncorhynchus masou masou (cherry salmon) is the source of this 390-nucleotide long non-coding RNA. RefSeq lists it as uncharacterized. The transcript has 3 exons. Lineage: Eukaryota; Metazoa; Chordata; Actinopteri; Salmoniformes; Salmonidae. The record is from RefSeq and is a predicted model, not a curated record.
GCCGGAGGAGAGCGGAGCGGGCUCCCUGGCGGAGCUGCAGCUGCUGGUCCUAAGUCUGACCAGGAAGGUGGGCGAGGGUGAUGAACGUUACAGCCUGCUGCAGGAGCAGACUGAGAGCCUCAAGGAGCUCCUAGUCACAGAAAAGGCCGCCUUCGAGGACAAGGAGAACAUGUACAAGCAAAACAUCCAGACGUUUAAAGACAUCAUUCUGCAGAAAGACAACAAGCUAAUGGAGGUCAACCAGAUGCAUGAGCAGGAGCUCUUCAAGUUGGCCGCCAAGUCUGACGCCAGCGCUGAUCUGGAACAGCUCCUGAAGGCUCUGAAACAGAAACUACAUGAGAAGGAGGAGGUGCUGCAGGGUAAAAACCAGGUGAUUGAUGUCCUCCAGGG